This 490-nucleotide ribosomal RNA is filed under the name uncultured bacterium. Its description in RNAcentral is "partial 16S ribosomal RNA". It matches the Rfam family "Bacterial small subunit ribosomal RNA", at positions 30 to 507 of the family's 1533-position model. The record is from RNAcentral.
AUUGAACGCUGGCGGCAGGCCUAACACAUGCAAGUCGAACGGUAACAGGAAGAAGCUUGCUUCUUUGCUGACGAGUGGCGGACGGGUGAGUAAUGUCUGGGAAACUCCCUGAUGGAGGGGGAUAACUACUGGAAACGGUAGCUAAUACCGCAUAACGUCGCAAGACCAAAGAGGGGGACCUUCGGGCCUCUUGCCCUCGGAUGUGCCCAGAUGGGAUUAGAUCGAAGGUGGGGUAACGGCCCACCUAGGCGACGAUCCCUAGCUGGUCUGAGAGGAUGACCAGCCACACUGGAACUGAGACACGGUCCAGACUCCUACGGGAGGCAGCAGUGGGGAAUAUUGCACAAUGGGCGCAAGCCUGAUGCAGCCAUGCCGCGUGUAUGAAGAAGGCCUUCGGGUUGUAAAGUACUUUUGUCGGGGAGGAAGGGAGUAAAGUUAAUACCUUUGCUCAUUGACGUUACCCGCAGAAGAAGCACCGGCUAACUCCGUG